Molecule: transfer RNA, 76 nt
Filed under: Bos taurus (domestic cattle)
Lineage: Eukaryota; Metazoa; Chordata; Mammalia; Artiodactyla; Bovidae
Also listed under: 1 other name
Rfam family: tRNA
About the family: Transfer RNA (tRNA) molecules are approximately 80 nucleotides in length. Their secondary structure includes four short double-helical elements and three loops (D, anti-codon, and T loops).
Source: Rfam by way of RNAcentral
UCUCUGGUGGUCCAGUGGUCAGCGGGAUUCUGAGCUCCCAAUCCAGAGGGCCCAGGUUCGAUACCUGGUCAGGGGA